Molecule: ribosomal RNA, 468 nt
Filed under: uncultured bacterium
Lineage: Bacteria
Description: partial 16S ribosomal RNA
Rfam family: Bacterial small subunit ribosomal RNA
Source: RNAcentral
GACGAACGCUGGCGGCGUGCUUAACACAUGCAAGUCGAACGGAAAGGCCCUGCUUUUGUGGGGUGCUCGAGUGGCGAACGGGUGAGUAACACGUGAGUAACCUGCCCUUGACUUUGGGAUAACUUCAGGAAACUGGGGCUAAUACCGGAUAGGAGCUCCUGCUGCAUGGUGGGGGUUGGAAAGUUUCGGCGGUUGGGGAUGGACUCGCGGCUUAUCAGCUUGUUGGUGGGGUAGUGGCUUACCAAGGCUUUGACGGGUAGCCGGCCUGAGAGGGUGACCGGCGAGAGUGGGGCUGAGAUACGGCCCAGACUCCUACGGGAGGCAGCAGUGGGGAAUAUUGCACAAUGGGCGGAAGCCUGAUGCAGCAACGCCGCGUGCGGGAUGACGGCCUUCGGGUUGUAAACCGCUUUCGCCUGUGACGAAGCGUGAGUGACGGUAAUGGGUAAAGAAGCACCGGCUAACUACGUG